GCCGGGAGCGCCUGCCCCGGCAUCGGCGGCACGCUGUACCGCGCGCACGGGGCCAGCUGGCUCAGCUGCGCCCCGCAGGUGCCGCGCGGCGGCUGCGCCUUGGCCGCGCCGCCCAGGGUCACCAGCAGCAGGACCAGGAGGGCCGCCUGGCCCGUGGUCGCCGCCAUCGUCGUCGUCGCCGGCGGCUCGGUGCGCGCGCUGCGAGCUUGAGAGACGGAAAUGAGUUCCUGUGUGUGUGGUUGGCGGUGUGGUGGUGGUGCGGGAGCGCGUGGUUUUAUAGGUGGGGCGACGGAGGUGGGAGGCGGCGAGUCUUGCGUUGCUCACCUACGCUACGCAGGCAGCGGGCGGUGCUCGGAUCGGCGCCGGGCGGGAGGAGCGGGCCACGGCAAGCGUGUGAGGCACUGAGGCUGACCCGACCCAACUAAUAAGCCCAGCUCGGAGACCCGCUUCGUCCGUUUGAUCAUCGGGACAAAAAAACUUGGUUCAACGUAGAGACAUGUUUGGACCGGUGUCCUUUCACUAUCCGCGCCGAUCCAAUCUUUGACGAAUACCAGCAAACAUGUCUGUGUGUUACAGCAGGAGAAAAAAAAAUCAUCCCUAAUAGGCACUGGCCGAUACCAGUAAAUCCCUUGAAAUCUCCACACAACAAACAAUAUGAUAAGUGACGUUGCGUUAAACGUAAUGGUGGAUGAUUUUUGAAGUGUAUUCAAGGUGCUUUAAAAAAAAGUUAUGGACAUAAUUAAAUUUUUUGGAAAUUAACAUUAAGCCACUUGUUUACAUAAAGCUCAAAUCAUCAAUUUAGUGUACAACAUCGUAUAUUGGUUGGUUAUAUUGUGCAUGAUGUGAAAUAGGAUGACCGUGUACCUAUUGUAACCUUUAGCAUACAAAGUAGCUAGUAGAAAUCAACAUCCGCUAUGGUGCCAAUACUAUCUUUUACGAGAGUAUUAAACUAUCGUAUCUAUUCAAGUUAAAUGGAAUAAAAAAAAUAUGUAAUAGGCAUUUUCAAAAUACCCAAUAUAGAGAAGGUAUUAAUCAAGGUUGCAACAUAUAUUUUAUUUUAAAAAUGAGUAACAUGUAAGAUAAGAGUAUAUUUGAAAUCUACAUAUUCUUUUGAACAAUUAUCAUAUAUAACAUGUUAGAUUUGGAAUUAGGGUUUGAAAGAUAUGAAUAUCCUAAAAAGCAUUUGAAUUAGAAAAAAUAGCAUUUGAAUUAGAAAAAAUGAAAAAGGGGUAGCUGUUUUGAUGUGUUUAAUUUGGGACCGCACUGUAUAUAAACCGAAGUAAACGCCCCAUGUAGCAAAUUGAACUGUUUUUUUGUUUAUGAACGAUAUGAUGGGUAAUUUGUGUUAACUUUGGGAUAGUUCUAAUGACGAACUUGGCAGAAACAAUAACCUUUUUAUUAGUACGCAUAGAUGGGCUAGAAUGGGUUUCAAACAAACAGAAACGGACACUCCCGUCGUUUGCUGGUGCUCGCUUGUGUCCACCCUGGUCCCAAAGACCAGCGACCGCACCAGCCGGGGCUUUGCCUCCAUAAUGACGUGCACCGGCGCAUGCCACCUCUCUUUUUGAGUCAGUCGUUGUGUUAGGAUCUUGCCGGCGGGCCCGCGGCGCCGAUGAUUGGCCGAUCGUGGCCGCCAGACGCCACGUCGGGGUCCGACCACACAAGGGGGAGGAGCGGGGCACGACGAUUACCUCGCCAUGGAGGAAGGGGCGGGGCACAUAUAAAGGAUGGACGCGUUGAUGCGGAGGGAGAGGGUCAUGAACUUCGAAAACAUUUUUCUGUGCAAAUAAAUAUUGAAAAGGUACACAAUUUAUGAAAUGCAUGAAUAUUUUAUAAAGUGUGAGCACUUUUAGAAAAUUCUGAAUACUUUGAAAACCAAUCAAUUUUGAUAAAACGAUAACACUUUCUGAAACAUAUAUUUUAAAUCUAGAACAACAAAUUUAAAGUGCGAACAUUCUUUGAAAAUUAAAAAAAUGGUAACAAAAUUUGAAACCUGAGCAAACGUGUAAAGAAAUGUUUUUGACAUCUAAAAAAUAUCACAAGUUUAGAGAAAUGUACAUGGCAUUUCAAAAAAAUGUAUGUAUAAUGUAAAUAAUAUCCGUGUAAUUCUAACAAAUGUUUCUUCCAUUCAAAAAGAUGCAACAUUUCAAGAAUGUUCAAGAGUUUCAAAACAUGUGCUUGUAACAUUUUUAGAAAGAAGUGUAUACAAUGUAAAAAAGUUAGCGUGACGUAAAUAAUGUGUCAUACCCUUAGAAAAUUAUACCCGACAUGUGUUUGAAAUUUUAUAAAUGUGUAACAAUGUAAAAAAAUGUUUGUAUAGUUUUACAAGAUGUCUGUAUAGUUUUAUAAAUGUCUAUCGUCGUUAAGAAAUAAAAAAAUAUAUUUGAAAAAUAUUACUGUGUAUUCAUUUCUUUAAACAUGUAUCUAAAAAGAUAUAAAUAAAGUAUCAAAAAAUAUUUGUGCUAAAAAUUUGCAAUGUGUACUGACAAUAAUUAGACAUGUGUAAAAUAUAUAAUUGGUUACCGUACAGAAACAAAACAAAAGCGAAAAAAAAGAAAACACUAUGAAGAAAAUCAAGAAAGAAACAAAAGAAAUCAAAAGUAUAACGAGAAAGUAAAACCAGAUAAUGCCAGUGAAAAAAUAAAGCAUAACGAACAAAAAAUCAAAGAAAAAAAAGAAAACAAGACCAGCACGAGAGACUGUGCCAAUGGGCUGGCGCAGUUCAGCGAAUACCGGCUAAAUUCUAUCAACGUUUAAAAUAGACCGGGAUCAAGGAUUUUGGUUUGCUGAUUCCAGGAAUUAAGAGUUCAGAGUUUGAUUUAGCUUCGGCCUAUAUAUAUGAAAGGUUUGUUUUGGAUUUUUUUCCUUUUUCUUUUUGCUAUACUCGAGCGGUCUGGUGUUGUGGUGCACGUUGGCUUCUCCUGCCCAGGAAUCACCUCGCCAACAAGAUCCAAAAUGUCCUAAUAAAGAAAAUAAAAUAAAAAGAACAUGUUUCUGUCAAAAUAGGUAGCACUGUUGGGUAAAAAGACGCACGCCUUCGUUGCUCUCGUGAGGCAGGCGAUUGGGGUUUUCGUUGCCUCCCGUCGCAUAGCCGUCGAGCUGCCUUGUCUUCUGUGGCCUUAGGAUCAUGUAGACGCGAUCGAUCUCGGUCCUUGCUGGGGGGGGGGAGGUGUUUCAUUUUUAGAGUUUGUUUGAGUUUUGAUAGGGUUUGUGUCUUGCUCAGAAAGAUGAGGCGGUGCGUGUUUCUUGGAGAUGGAAUAAGUUUUUCCUCAUAUAGCCCCAGAUGAAAUAAGUUUUUCCUCAUAUAGCCCCCACCCGUUCUGAUGAUGCUUCUAGCAUCGCCGGAGGGUGUAUGAAGAUUUAUCUCGGACGGAUCUCAGGAGAUUCAGUCGACGUUUGACUUUGAUGGAUCCGAUCGGAUCCAUUUUUCGUUCGUCUAAGUUGAUGUGUCGGCAGGUUGGAUUUUUGGUGCUUAGUGUUGUUUUCAUACGGGGCGCUCACUAGCAAAGCCAUUGGGCCAGCCCAUGUAAAGCGAACAGUGAUUGAGCUGCCCAAUCUGAUUUUGCGAUUUUUGCACUCAUAUUUUCCCCUGAAUCUAUCAAUCAUUUUUUCAAAUACCACUCAAUUUUUUUCAGAAUCCACAAACUAUUUUUGCAAAUUUGUGAACAGUUUUUAAUCCACGAACUUUUUCCACAAAAAUCAUGAACUUUUUUCAAAUUCGCAAACACUCUCAAAUCAGUGAACUUUUCUUCAAAUUCACGAGAUUUUUCCAGAUCCAUGAGUUAUUUUUUCAAAUUCUCUAAGACUUAUAAAAUAAGUGAACUUUUUUAAAGUUCACUAAUACUUAUCCAAUCAGUGAAGUUUUUCUAACUCAUGAGUUUUUUUUCAAACCACAAUCUUUUUAUGAAUUCGCAACAAUAAAUUCAUGAACACUUUCCAAAUCAGGGAUGGUUAUUUUCAAAAUUCACAAACGUUUUAUGAAUUCACAAGUUUUAUUUUUCAAAUCCAUGAGUUUUUUGGAAUUUGCAAACUUUUAAAAAAGGGGAGUUUCAUAAAAUUCCAUGAACUUUUAAAAAUGCACCAGUUUUUUUGAAGUCCAUGAUAUGUUUUCGAAUCGUAAUCUUUUCAAAUCCAUGAUAUUUUUUCGAAUUCUUGAUUUUUAUCAAACCCAUGAAACUUUUCUCAAUGUCCAUGAACUGUUUUCAAAUUUGCGAACAUUAUUCAAACCUACAAUUUUGUACGAGUUUUGUUUCAAAUACGCGGCGCUCACUAUCCAAGCCUGCAAGGGUGUGUCUAUAACGGGUUGGCCGGUGUUCCUGGUUUUAAAUGGUAUUGUGUGGUUUUUCAUUUUUCUGUCUUUUCUGUGUCUUCUCUACUGUUUUAGUAUAUUUUCUUUGAUUUAUGAUUUUACUCUUUCCAUUAUUUUAUUCUCCUUUUUUUCAUAUCUUAAUUCAUGAAUAUUUAUUCAGUUUAUGAAUAUUGUAAAACAUGAUUUCCAUUUAAAAUUCACAAAAAAGUAAUAUUCGUGAAUUUUCUUUAAAUUCAUGAAUAUUUCUAUAGUUCACAAAACAAUUACAGCCUAUUUAUUUUAAAAAAUUUGAACCUCUGUUAGAAUUCACUAACAUUGUUUGAAGUCCAUGAAUAUUUUAUAGAUGUCUGAACAUCUUAGAAUAAUCAUAGUUAUUCUGUUUUGCAAUAUUUUUUGAAAUUUUGUGAACAUAGUUUUAGUUAAUGAAUUCUUUCAAACCAAAAAAAUAUGGUAAUCAUAUUUUCGGAGCUAGGAGUGUAGUGAGCAGGGAAAAAAAAGCUAAGUGGGUGAGUGAAGCACGUGCCAUGUUGAGCGAGCGAGAGCUACAUUGACUGGCCCAUGUGAGUGUUACUCCCUCCGUUCUUAAAUACAAGUUUUUUAAGAGUUUUUAUUAGGGGUUUACAUACGGAGCAAAAUGAGCGAAUCUAUAUUCUAAAGUAUGUUUAUAUACAUCCGUAUAUAGUCCACUGAUUGAACCUCUAAAAAAAUUUAUAUUUAAAAACGGGGGAGUAUAAUAAUAAUUCCAUGAUUUUAAUACGGAAUAAGAGCUUCCAAGGGGCUUACGCAACACAAUCAUCAUCGGCUGACACCAAGGCCCAAACGUGUAAGGACAACAUUAGCACACAUGUAACAACUACGGUUUCCUCACGGAACAGCUAUAUUCUUCAAUAACAGCCCAACACGUUAUAUUAACGAGAAACACCGGAGGUGGUGUAUUGGAACAUAGGUGUAGAUACACCUCUACACCUACCAUGAAAUAUAUAUGUUAAUAAUACAUUUCAAAAUGUUACAAAAUUGCAAACAAAAAUUUCGCAUGUACAUUCGGACAUUCUGUGUUCGCACACUAAAUUCACAAGGAAAGAACUUUUUGUGGCAUGUAUAAAAGAGAUAAAAAUAAUAUCUCGUGAAUAGUUGUAAUCAAGCAUCGAAAAUUGUCUUUUAUACACAAGCCACAAAAAAUGUCCCUUUUUACCGAAACAUUAUGCAUGAACAUAUAAUGUCCGGAUGUACGCAUUAGAUUUUUUUUCUUUAAUUUUUUAACAUUUUAAAAUGUGUAUAUUUAAACAAUGGAUGGAUAUACAUCUAUGAGCCAAAAUGAACUUAUCGUCCACCAUAACAUAGCUAAAUUCAAGUGAGCGUUGAUAAAACCAAAAUGAAAGAACCAAUCGCAAUAAUUUGCUAAAGAAAAAGGAGUUAAUACCAUGAAUGAAGGACACCACAGCGAAGCGCGCGUUAGCUUCUCAUCACACUGAUACAGAUGAAAUAACUUGUAUAAGAAUUUUACAAGUUUAAAUCUUAGCGACUUUGGUGUUGCCUUACUGCUCUAGCAUAUUUUAUUUCCUAGUUAGUGUACUUGAUUCGGCCUUGAUAUAUGUCAAACUACAGGAAACGAGUGCGGUGCUACAGAAGCGAAUUGAGCACGGGUCCAAGUAUGAAAACUUUGGCAAGCUCUCCUUGUUCAGUACUUUCAAAUCGUUAUUUUAUAUUUUAUCUUACUCCCUCCAUAUCAUAAUAUAAAAAAAAAUUGACACUAUGAUGGUGUCAAAAAGAUAUCUCAUAUUUUGAUACAAAGGGAGUAUCAUCAAGAUGCAUAAAAUAUGUUGACAUAAAUCGUGUGGAAUAACGGUUGGCAAAUAGUUGGGUAGAUGGAGCACUUAAUCCAUUGAUAUAAUUAUUUGGCGGGUACGAGGUGCCCGGGAUGGACAUAUUGGAAGGUGUCUUCCACUUACAUAUGAGCAUCAUAUACGAAUAAAUUCACUCUCACUUUGUAUGCGCAUCCAUACAAAAAUCGUAUCAACUACAUGCUUGCCAAAAAUAAUGUCAAGCAAAGGCCUACUACA
This 6369-nucleotide long non-coding RNA is filed under the name Hordeum vulgare. Its description in RNAcentral is "long non-coding RNA (HVUL_LNC013584)". Lineage: Eukaryota; Viridiplantae; Streptophyta; Magnoliopsida; Poales; Poaceae. The record is from RNAcentral.